UGGAUUAGUUACUAAUUCUUUUCCUAAUUGGAUUGUUGACACAGGAGCAAAAAAAUAUGUAGUUCAAGAUCGAGUUGGAUUCAUAAACUACCAUCGUGUCCCGAUGGGUUCGUAAAAUAUUGUAUUAGGCGACGAUAGUGAAAAGGACAUCCUUUGAAUAAGAACAUACCAGUUCAAGCUACAUGGAAGAAAUGCUUUACUCCUUCAUGAUACUCUCUAUGCUAGGGUGAGUUGUUGUUUACUUU
RNAcentral lists this long non-coding RNA (245 nucleotides) under Carica papaya (papaya). Its description in RNAcentral is "long non-coding RNA (CPAP_LNC009854)". Lineage: Eukaryota; Viridiplantae; Streptophyta; Magnoliopsida; Brassicales; Caricaceae. The record is from RNAcentral.